AUGGGAGUUUGGUAUGGACUCAAAUGUCUGGGGACAAGACUGCCCCCACUGGGGACUCCUUUACUACAAAGAAACCUCUUCUCCCCCUCCACAGCCCCACAUGCAGGUCCGGUAGGAGUCUCCAAAUCCCAUCUGUCUCCCUGCGCUGCAGUUGCCUUGCUUUACCUGCAGAGUUUGGCAUCCGGUAGCAAUGUCUCGAACCCCUGGAGUGUCAGGUGGUGGAAGAUAAACAGCUCAGAGCUGGACUCAGAACUUGGCAGAGUCCUGCUUUCAACUAUGUGCAGCCAGAAAACUCUGGAAAACUGAACUGUUUAUUAGGGUCAAACUUUG
Molecule: long non-coding RNA, 330 nt
Filed under: Macaca mulatta (Rhesus monkey)
Lineage: Eukaryota; Metazoa; Chordata; Mammalia; Primates; Cercopithecidae
Description: lncRNA (ENSMMUG00000061730.1)
Source: RNAcentral